GGUCCAGACUCCUACGGGAGGCAGCAGUGGGGAAUAUUGCACAAUGGGCGAAAGCCUGAUGCAGCAACGCCGCGUGAAGGAAGAAGGGUUUCGGCUCGUAAACUUCUAUCAACAGGGACGAAAGAAAUGACGGUACCUGAAUAAGAAGCCCCGGCUAACUACGUGCCAGAAGCCGCGGUAAUACGUAGGGGGCAAGCGUUAUCCGGAUUUACUGGGUGUAAAGGGAGCGUAGACGGCAAUACAAGUCGGAAGUGAAAUACCCGGGCUCAACCUGGAAACUGCUUUGGAAACUGUAUGGCUGGAGUGCUGGAGAGGUAAGCGGAAUUCCUAGUGUAGCGGUGAAAUGCGUAGAUAUUAGGAGGAACACCAGUGGCGAAGGCGGCUUACUGGACAGUAACUGACGUUGAGGCUCGAAAGCGUGGGGAGCAAACAGGAUUAGAUCCCCC
RNAcentral lists this ribosomal RNA (446 nucleotides) under uncultured bacterium. Its description in RNAcentral is "bacterial SSU rRNA". It matches the Rfam family "Bacterial small subunit ribosomal RNA", at positions 328 to 788 of the family's 1533-position model. The record is from RNAcentral.